RNAcentral lists this ribosomal RNA (419 nucleotides) under uncultured bacterium. Its description in RNAcentral is "bacterial SSU rRNA". It matches the Rfam family "Bacterial small subunit ribosomal RNA", at positions 28 to 494 of the family's 1533-position model. The record is from RNAcentral.
GACGAACGCUGGCGGUGUGCUUCACACAUGCAAGUCGAGCGCCCCGCAAGGGGAGCGGCGGACGGGUGAGUAACACGUGGGAAUUUUCCUCAAGGUACGGAACAACUCAGGGAAACUUGGGCUAAUACCGUAUGAUGCAGAGAUGCCAAAGAUUUAUCGCCUUGGGAUAAGCCCGCGUCAGAUUAGGUAGUUGGUGGGGUAAUGGCCUACCAAGCCUGUGAUCUGUAGCUGGUCUGAGAGGACGAUCAGCCACAUUGGGACUGAGACACGGCCCAAACUCCUACGGGAGGCAGCAGUGGGGAAUCUUGCGCAAUGGACGAAAGUCUGACGCAGCCAUGCCGCGUGAAUGAUGAAGGUCUUAGGAUUGUAAAGUUCUUUUAGCCUGUGACGAUGAUGACGGUAACAGGAGAAUAAGCCCC